UUCCAGGAUUAUUUUCGUAAUUUCAUCAAUAAAGACAAAUUGGUAUCUUAAAUUUCAGUUGUUGCAUGUAGACAACAGGUGUCUUUUCAUUUUUCCUCUGUAACUCUACAAAGACAACAAAUGUCUUUCCAUUUUUCCUUUUUGAUGAAACUUUAUUGCUUUCCGUUGAAGAAUUGUCAAAAUCAUAUUGUUGUCCUCUCAUGAUUUUCCUCUACGCCUCAGAUCUUCGAUCAAAUAUUCAUAAGGAAGCAGAGAUCAUCAUAAUGGACCAGAAAAUUCUCGUGGAUGCCAUCACAACUGAAACUGCAGAUUGGACCUGUAAGGUACAGGUAGUAGACAAGUUCCGUCCUCGCAAAAGUAGCGACUCAUCCGUACAUUUUCAGACAAUAAUUGUGCAGGACGAAAAGGUAAGUUUGUCCCUACAAUAAUUGUGUAGGACGAAAAGGUAAGUUUGUCCCUACCUCUACUGUCCAUGAAAAAUAGAGUUCAUACCGUAAACAUUAUUAUCUAUGGUAAUGCUAUUAACUACACGACAUUUUUUACUGCUGCAAAGGCAAUAACUUUGAAGACUUAACAAAUUAAGAAAAGUUCAAAUCUAGCCUCAUGAAAAAAACAACUGACAUUUCCAAUAACUUCUUCUAUAAAUUGUAUUUGCACAUCUAAAACAGGUUCUCUUUUACGGGACUACAAGAACAACAGGUUUCUACAGUACUCUACGGCGAUGACACUCCUAAGUACGAGAAGUUGUUUGUCCUUUUUGAGACAUAUUUGGUUUUCUGUACAAAAGUUAGGGACCACUGAGGAUACUCAAUACGAGCCGGUACGUAUGAGUGGGUGGUUGACAGAUAUACAAUCGUUGAGGCGAUUAACACUAACGACGGAUUGGAAGCACCCCUUCCCGCUCCAACAAAAUUGAAUGCAUUGUCUUUCUCAGCUAUUGAAUAUCAACGUCCGGGUGUUAAAUUUGCUAUAGUAGCUAAUUGCAGCGCUAUUCAAUAUACAGCUGAUUAAAGUAAGCAUUUUCGGGAAGCGAUCGUCAUGGAUCAGAGCAAGAAACCUUUUCUAUUUACUAUAUGGGGCGAUCUGGUUGACAACGAAGAGGCCAAACUAUUACAUCACCUGCAUGAGCAUCCCAUCAUUCUAGUGAAGCGUAUAUGUGUUACUGAGUUCCGCAGUGGUGUCACUUCCAAGUUGAUAUUACGAAUGCCAGUGAUACAAUUACAGUAACAAUCUCAGAAACGCUGGCAGAGAAAAUGUUGUCCCUAACUUCAGAACAAAUAUAUGAAACUGUCGUUGUCCAGGUACACACAUACAUAUCACUAACAACACGGAAAACUUAUAGCCUUACAAUUUUGUUCUUUUCAGCAAGUAAAAUACUGCAUUACAUAAAAGUUCACUUAAUCUGGUCUUUCUGCCUUUUCAAUUAGCAACAACCAUUAUCUAUUACCCGUAUAAAUGAGCACCUCGCUCAUAAACUAUUUUAGCUACAGCUACAAAAGCCAGUCUUCAGAUUUUUCGAUCAAAAAUCUGGCAUGCUAGCUAUCAUCGCCUUCACUAAAGCCGUACCUGCAGAUUUGGGGGACACAAGUAAGAGGCAGAAAAUAGAACCAUCCACGCCCGCAAUAAAACAUUAAAGGUAACAACACUUCCACAAUUCGAUUUGCUACUAUACUUAGCAUUCACUGCAAUACUCCAAAAUAUUCUACUCAACUGAAUUUUAUUUCAAACAUAUGCCUGCAACAUCUCAAUCUCAGCAGGUAAAUAUAAUCUUCAUAGUUGCUUUUGUUAUAUCUAUCUACUCAAUGCAGUCAGGUACAUAGAAUGAUCUCACUCGCAGUCAAGCUCGAUCAAGUGGUGUGGCAUGUACAACUACAUUUUGGUUGCUUCUGCCAACUCCAUCGCACGGUAUAAGCAUGUACAAAGAAUUUUUGCUUGCCUACACCAUCAGUGCUUGCACGGGCUUUCACAUCUAGUUAAAAUAAGAAAGUAUGGUAUCUUUUUUUUUAGACUGGACUAAAAAGAACAUGACACAUAAAUUGGGACAGGCAAAAAGGAAAAAGUACUACUAAUAAAAUUUUGUAAGGAAAGUUUCAAACUUUUUCAUAGCACAUGGGUUUUGAGCUUAGUGAUUUUUAACUCAAGACUGGUUUAGUCCGUGGUGCGGAGCCAUCUUAUAUUAAGGGGUAUCAAUGGACAUUUUUUCCUCAAAAAAUGAUACGUA
Capsicum annuum is the source of this 2221-nucleotide long non-coding RNA. RefSeq lists it as uncharacterized. The record is from RefSeq and is a predicted model, not a curated record. The transcript is spliced from 5 exons. NCBI's taxonomy places the organism in Eukaryota, Viridiplantae, Streptophyta, Magnoliopsida, Solanales, Solanaceae.